GGUGAUUUAGCUCAGUGGUAGAGCGCUUGCCUAGCAAGCGCAAGGCCCUGGGUUCGGUCCCCAGCUCCA
Rattus norvegicus (Norway rat) is the source of this 69-nucleotide non-coding RNA. The record is from Rfam. Lineage: Eukaryota; Metazoa; Chordata; Mammalia; Rodentia; Muridae.